Molecule: ribosomal RNA, 253 nt
Filed under: uncultured bacterium
Lineage: Bacteria
Description: partial 16S ribosomal RNA
Rfam family: Bacterial small subunit ribosomal RNA
Source: RNAcentral
UACAGAGGUCUCAAGCGUUGUUCGGAUUCAUUGGGCGUAAAGGGUGCGUAGGUGGCUUGGUAAGUCGGAUGUGAAAUCCCGGGGCUCAACCCCGGAACUGCAUUCGAUACUGCUGAGCUAGAGUACUGGAGAGGAGAUUGGAAUUUACGGUGUAGCAGUGAAAUGCGUAGAUAUCGUAAGGAAGACCAGUGGCGAAGGCGGAUCUCUGGACAGUUACUGACACUGAGGCACGAAGGCCAGGGGAGCAAACGGG